UUUAUUUAGAAUUUGACUAGGAUUUAUUUAUGAUUGAUUAAGGUUUAUUUAGGAUUUGAUUAGAAUUUGGUUAGGAUUUUGUUGGAAUUUGAUUAAGAUUUGAUUAGAAUUUGAUUAGUAUUUGAUUAGAUUUUGAUUAAGAUUUGAUUAGGAUUUGAUUAAGAUUUGACUAAGAUUUGAUUAGAAUUUAUUUAGAGUUUGACUAUGAUUUAUUUAAAAUUGAUCAAGGUUUAGUUAUGAUUUGGUUAAGAUUUGAUUAGGUUUUGGUUAGAAUUUGAUUAGAAUUUGGUUAAGAUUUGACUAAGAUUUGAUUAGGAUUUAUUUAAGAUUUAACUUGGAUUUACUUAGAUUGAUUAAGAUUUGAGUAGGGUUUGACUAGGAUUUGGUUAAGAUUUGGUUAGGAUUUGAUUAGGAUUUGGUUAUGAUUUAGUUAGGAUUUGAUUAGAUUUUGGUUAAGAUUUGAUUAGGAUUUGGUUAGAUUUUGAUUAGAAUUUGGUUAAAAUUUGAUUAGAAUUUUGUUAAAGUUUGAUUAGAGUUUGGUUAGGAUUUGAUUAAGAUUUGGUUAGGAUUUGAUUGGGAUUUGGUUAGGAUUUGAUUAGGUUUUGAUUAGAAUUUGAUUAGAAUUUGGUUAAAGUUUGACUAGGGUUUGGUUAGGAUUUGGUUAGGAUUUGAGUAAGGUUUGAUUAGCAUUUGACUAGGAUUUCAUUAAGAUUUGAUUACAUUUUAUUUAGAAUUUGAUUUGGGUUUGGUUAGAAUUUUUUUAGAAUUUGAUUAAAGUUUAGUUAGGAUUUGGUUAGGAUUUGUUUAGAAUUUGAUUAGAAUUUACUUAAGAUUGACUAAGAUUUGAUUAGAAUUUGGUUAAGAUUUUAUUAGGAAUUAGUUAGGAUUUAGUUAGGAUUUGAUUAAGAUUUGAUUAGGAUUUGGUUAAGAUUUUAUUAGGAAUUAGUUAAGAUUUAGUUAGAAAUUGAUUAGGAUUUGAUUAGGAUUUGAUUAGGAUUUGAUUAGGAUUUGGUUAGAAUUUGAUUAGGAUUUGAUUAUAAUUUGAUUAGGAUUUUGUUAAGAUUUGAUUAAUAUUUGUUUAAGAUUUGAUUAGGAUUUGGUUAAGAUUUAUUUAAAAUUUAAUUAGAGAUUGAUUAGGAUUUGGUUAGGAUUUGAUUAGAAUCUUAAUAGGAUUUGAUUAAAAUUUAUUUAAGAUUUGAUUAGGAUUUAAUUAAGAUUUCUAUUUUAAUAUUUUAUUAAGAUUUCUAUUUUAGUAUAUUUUUAAAUUCCUAUGUUAUUUUUUUAUGAUUUCUUAAAAGGUCUUUAG
Molecule: long non-coding RNA, 1306 nt
Filed under: Physcomitrium patens
Lineage: Eukaryota; Viridiplantae; Streptophyta; Bryopsida; Funariales; Funariaceae
Description: long non-coding RNA (PPAT_LNC010158)
Source: RNAcentral